This 111-nucleotide ribosomal RNA is filed under the name Jaculus jaculus (lesser Egyptian jerboa). The record is from RNAcentral. Lineage: Eukaryota; Metazoa; Chordata; Mammalia; Rodentia; Dipodidae.
GUCUACGGCCAUACUAUCCUGAAUACACCUGAUCUCAUCUGAUCUUAGAAGACAAGCAGGGUUGGGUCUGGUUAGUACUUGCAUGGGAGAAAUAGCUGGGAAGUGGGGAAA